This is a small nucleolar RNA of Artibeus jamaicensis (Jamaican fruit-eating bat), 133 nucleotides long. RefSeq annotates it as small nucleolar RNA SNORA51. NCBI's taxonomy places the organism in Eukaryota, Metazoa, Chordata, Mammalia, Chiroptera, Phyllostomidae. The record is from RefSeq and is a predicted model, not a curated record. The transcript has a single exon.
GGCCUCCCGGUGCUUACCACAGGCUGUGUUCUUACACUCCCUGUACAGAAAGAGGAGGCAGAGUAAACCCACCCCACAUACACCUCAGCCCAGGCCCUUUGCCUGGUCUGUAUUGUGAAUGGAGGGGAUGUGG